AGUUCUGCACUACAGACUGUUACUGCAGAGAAGGACCUACAGCUAUAGAUGUCACCCUAGGUCAUAAUUCAAGCUUGCUUAGCUUUCCUAUAGGAGACAUCACCAUCUGUAUCACUUCAUUAAUAUUGUGUGAAAUUGGACCUUAUUUCUGAAUUAACAUCUGAUUGUAGCUGUCAAGAGUGAUAUGACUGGUUGUGUUCAGCAUUACAGAUUUUUCAGGGUCAUCGAAUGUAUACCAAGACCUACAUGGCAACAUUCAGCAUAUGUCAUUCAAGUUCCAGGAUUUGGGCUACUUAAGAUUACCAUUUGCUACUACUAUGUAUUGGAAGAAGCUUACACAGUGCCAGCACACACUGAAGACACCUCAAGGUUUGAUCAAACCUUUUAUUAUCUGAAGAAUAUAAACAAAAUGAAGAGACAAGC
Long non-coding RNA from Bufo gargarizans (Asiatic toad), 423 nucleotides. RefSeq lists it as uncharacterized. The transcript is spliced from 4 exons. NCBI's taxonomy places the organism in Eukaryota, Metazoa, Chordata, Amphibia, Anura, Bufonidae. The record is from RefSeq and is a predicted model, not a curated record.